UCCUCCCCAUAUGCUGGCAACGGGGGCUCUUGGAGGAGGAAAAAGCACCAUGCUCCGACAACCUUUGACCUUAAAGAGAGUGGCAUGCACACGGUAAAGAAGCAGUCGUGUUCAGGACCCCCACCCCAUGGAAGAUUGAACCCAUAGUACCCCUGUCUCUGGAGUCAGCAGGCAGUUGAAUUUGGGCAUGCAUUUCAUCCGGAAGUGAAAAUACUGCCCCGUCACCAAGAAGUUAAGAAUCAUAUCUGCCGGGAAGCCUCCCAUCUUCCUGCGCCUGCCGCAAACCAUCAGAGUGAUUUCCUGCAAGAAUGGGACAAGACAAACCUCUGCUUCUAACAUUACCAUGCAUCUGGAGGAGUGCACAUCUAAACUGAAGCUGAACUCUGCAGCCAGAAGGAUAUUCCUUGUCCAACGGUACAGAGGCUUCUCUAGCUGGGGACCUGGCCAUUGACUCAGAGGUGUUCGUC
Oncorhynchus gorbuscha (pink salmon) is the source of this 467-nucleotide long non-coding RNA. RefSeq lists it as uncharacterized. The record is from RefSeq and is a predicted model, not a curated record. The transcript has 3 exons. Lineage: Eukaryota; Metazoa; Chordata; Actinopteri; Salmoniformes; Salmonidae.